Molecule: non-coding RNA, 2112 nt
Organism: Pelobates cultripes (western spadefoot toad)
Lineage: Eukaryota; Metazoa; Chordata; Amphibia; Anura; Pelobatidae
Source: the annotation of a GenBank genome assembly
CUCAGCCCCCUGGUAGACUUGGUAUCUCCCGGCUGGAUGGGUCACAUGGUAUGCUUAGGGCUCUGACGUAGGCUUUUAGCAUGGAAGCCCAGCCCAGAAAUUCUGAGAACUAAUUUGCUAUUCUGUGACAUAAGACAAGGGGUCCGGGCUCUGUUCUGUAACUGUGUGAAGCACAUAAGCCUCUUUCUACACCCAGCACACAGGGGGACACACUGGACAGGGCACACCAAUAAAGACUCCUUCUAUACAAUAAAGCUCCAAAAGACAGAUUCCAUAGCUCAGGGUGAGGGGUGGCAUUCAGGUGGGUUAUUUUUUGUUUUGGAGGGGAUCCCACUACCUCCACAAGGCCCAUACACUCCACAGGACUGGGAGAUGAGCAGCUGGAUCCCUAUUGAGAGUCUGGAUGUGAGAUCUAUGCUGUAUCAUCCCGAUUCUGCACACUGAGAUGAUUUAUUUUUAUCCAAAGUUCUAAUUAUUUUGUUUUUGUCUUUAUUUUUUGUUCCUGUUCCCUGGGAGGGGGACACCCAGCAUUCAGUGAAAGCUGUCAGUGGAUUUGCUUGGCAUUCCUAUUUUCCCAUGGACUAAAUGUGGUAUGGUAUUUGCUGUAAUCAAUAACCAUAAAUCAAGGGUCUUAUCACUGUGAUAGAUCAGAUCAGAUCAGAGCUGAGCAUUUAUUUUCCUUAGCUCUGAACAUAGAUGCAUGUUUUGUCUUGAAAUGUUUUAAUGUCGGUAUGCUUUUGUAUUAUAGCUGUAUGUUAUGAAACUUGACUGUAUGUCUGUCUAUUUAUUCCAUUAAAUAUGUUACAUUACUGGGAGCACACUGCUUAAAAAGCCCAGAGAAUCAGUGCUGUAGGCGGGAGUUUUUUUGCCCUGGGAGGGAAAGUUUAUAGAAACUACUCUAUAAACCAGAAUAUAUGUCUUCAUUUGUCUGUUUGGGUGCAUGGGUGGGGCUUGACUGUCUACAGGAACUAGACAUAUACAAAUUUAUGUUCAAUGACAUUUACAGACAGCAGUGUUCCUGGCUGGGCAGCCCUUAACCUUUUCAUUACCACUCAGACCACUACAGCCGGAAGAGUUAAAUUUAUAGCACUGUACAGAUACACUGAGAGUGUGCUGAGGGAGUGUGUGAGGCUGAAAAAGGAGCAUAACUCUUACAUCAGUAGCCGGAAACAGGAUUACAGCCCAACUAAUCAGAUUGUCCAUGGUUUUACAUUGCAGUCUGUGCCUAUAAAUUGACAGCUUUAAAAUGUGACACACACAGCUUAACCCAUUCAGUGCCAGGAGGUUGCAGAUCAUUCUCGUGUUCCAAAUUAGUAUGACCUAACAGAUGUUGUGUGUCAUGGAUUUGAGGAUUGUACUCUAUACUGCUUUUCAGGCAGAGAUACAAAGUUUAGCUAUAGUUUACAUUAUCAUGAAAGUUGUAUCACCUUAAAACUUUGCAGUGAUAGUCUAGCUAAACUGAUAAGAAUGUUGGAAGAUGGACCUCUGACUUCAGCGAAGUUCAUUCUGCAGGCCUAUGUCACCAGCUGUUAAUUAACUCAAUAAAGUCUAUGUGAGGUCUUCUCAUUUAACCAGGAAAUUUGAAAAGAUCUGCAAAUUUUAGGCCAAAUUUGAAACUAAGCCAGUUUGGUUAUUUUAGUUUAAAAUCUGCAGCCCCUUGGUGAGUAAUCCAAAUUUCUGCUUUAGUGAAUACGGUCAUGUUCCACUAAAUGAAAAUUGUUGUUUGAUAAUGUCUGUACGUCAUCUUGUGUGUAUCAAAAUGUGGUUUUAAUUUACAGAAUAAAUCUGAACAGUCUUUUAUACUCUGUGCGUAGUGUUGAUUCGUCAUUCCUAUCCACUUGUUAUUUAUAACAUGGAUUAGCUGUUGAUAUGUUGUUAAGUUGACUAGGCUUCAGUUUAUUGACACACUAUUACACUGGGAUUUCUUAAUAUAGUAUUCUAAAAAUGGUUUGGCAUUACCCUUGUUUUUAAGGUGGCUAUAACUAAAUAAUGAACUGCAUAGAAUAUAGAUAGAAAUUGCAAAACGUAGGGCACAUAGCCAUGAUGGGUAGAAAAUUCUCAAACUCAACAAUUCUUCCAGUAUUUCACUUUGGCCUAUAUUCUGCACUUUAC